AUGGAUCCUGAUACUUGGACCACUAAUGGAAAACUUGAUGAAGAGGAUAAUGCUAAUCUGUGUCGGGCCUUUACGGAGAUAGAAGUUAAGGAAGCUCUGUUUGCUAUGGCACACAAUAGAGCGCCUGGGCCGGACAACAUUCCUAUAGAGUUCUAUCAGGUGUGUUGGGAUAUCGUGAAGGAUGAUAUUAUGCUCCUAUUUGAACACUUUCAUAAAGGGGAAUUGGAUGUACAACGUCUCAAUUAUGGAGUGAUUACUCUCCUCCCCAAAUCCGCGGACGCAGACAAGCUUCAGCAAUUCCGGCUGAUUUGCCUCCUGAGAUGUCCAUACAAACUUAUUACUAAGGUCCUAGAUAGGCGAGUUGAAAAAUAUGCUGAUAAGCUCAUAAAUAGGGCCCAGAACGCUUUCGUGAAAAAAAGGAACAUCAUGGAUGGUGUGAUGUCUUUGCAUGAGACCCUUAACAACACUCAUGUGAAAAAGUGGGUGGGUGUAGUUCUCAAACUUGAUUUUGAGAAGGCUUAUGACAAAGUCAACUGGGACUUUAUUCUUGAAUGUCAUAAGCUUCGAGGCUUUAAUGAAAAAUGGUGCGGGUGGAUUAGAAAUAUCUUGCAUAAUGGGACUGUGAGCAUUAAGUUGAAUAACCAAGUUGGCCCCUACUUCCAAAGUGCGAAAGGGGUUCGGCAAGGUGAUCCCCAUUCCCCUUUCCUGUUCAAUCUAGCUGUGGAUUGUUUAGCAAAACUGAUUACAAAUGCCCAAAAAAGUGGCCUGAUAGUGGGUCUAGCCUCUGAUCUAAUCCCUAAUGUAGUAGCAGUUCUCCAAUAUGCGGACGAUACCAUCAUAUGCCUGGAGCAUGACAUCGACAAAGUUGUUAACUUGAAAAUGCUUCUUUAUAUGUUUGAAUUGAUGUCAGGACUUAAGGUGAAUUUCCAGAAAAGUGAGAUUCUCACCGUGGGAGGUGAUGAUGAUGUGGUGAAUAUGUAUGCAGACUUAUUCCAUUGCGAAGUGGGUAGCUUUCCCACUAAACAUCUAGGGAUGCAUGUCAGCUACACCAAACACAGAAACUCAGAUUGGGAAUUCAUCAUUGCUAAAUAUCUGAAUUUUUUUGAAGCUUGGAUCGGUAAUGCAGCCUCGAUGGGGGGAGGCUGA
RNAcentral lists this ribosomal RNA (1146 nucleotides) under Triticum aestivum (bread wheat). RNAcentral's name for it is "partial small subunit ribosomal RNA". The record is from RNAcentral. Lineage: Eukaryota; Viridiplantae; Streptophyta; Magnoliopsida; Poales; Poaceae.